This 1295-nucleotide long non-coding RNA is filed under the name Heterocephalus glaber (naked mole-rat). RNAcentral describes it as "lncRNA (ENSHGLG00100035748.1)". Lineage: Eukaryota; Metazoa; Chordata; Mammalia; Rodentia; Bathyergidae. The record is from RNAcentral.
AAAACAAGUGGUGAUUUUUUUUUUUAAAUAAAAAAACCACAGACUAUAAAUAAAUGUAAAUAUAUAAUAAGUGGAUUUACUUGCAAGAAAAUCAGAUAGUAUUUUUCUUUUAAUUCUUUUCCAGCUUUAAACUGUGAAAAACAAAACAAUAGGGUGGGUGGGGGACUUAAAAUUUAGCAGGGAACUUCUAAAGACAAAACAGAAAACAAUUAUACAAAUCCAUUAAAAAAACAAAACAGAUGGAGAGAUGCAAGCUGGGCUUAAAGCCAGAGGGAAAAGAGUAAGGCCACAGCCAGCUGCAGGGAGCCUGCUGGAAAGAUCGCUUCCUUCUACUUGGAAGGUGCUGCCAAUGUGGGAGAGAAAGAGACCACAUGCCCACCCACACCACAGCUGCACACGUAGCCACACAGCCCAGCAGUGCAACCGCUCAUGGGGGUACUCUCGGUCUACAGCCGAGAAACUGACUUACGCCCUCCAAAGCCAUUGUUGACAACACCACAACACCACCCUGGCCUUUAUGUCCCCCUGUGGCCCUCACUACACACACACACACACACACACACACACACAUGCACGCACGCAAGCACGCACACGCACACACACAUGCAGACCAUGCUCAUGUGCAUGGCCAGGGCGCUGGGGCAGAGUCCAGCCCUGGAUUCAGCACUUCCUCACUGUGUGGCUCCUCCGGCCUCCAUGUCCCCCCAUGUACAUGUACAGACCAACCCAGACAUGCUUAGAAAGCCCGAUCUUGCUCUGUGUAUCUGUGACUUUUAGGAUCUGCCACCUGCCCAGAGCAAGAUGCCAGGGAUGACCAAAUCAGCUGACACCGAGCUCCAGUGACAUUGAGAACGUUCCCAAACCAUCAGUUGGCCUCUCUCUCCCUCCCUCUCUCUCUCUCUCUCACACACACACACACACACACACACACACACACACACAUGCACGCACACGUACACACCUCCCAUAUGGCUCCUCACUGUGCUCCCCAGCCCCUGUCCCCACAUCCAACAUUAAAGCAAAAAGACACACACGUGAGCUAACGUAUCCUGCCAUUCAGACACAGAGGGGAAAGACACAUAGGUUCGCAAAGCCGCUCUUCAUUUUGUGUCCCCUUUCUUUAAUACCAUGGCCCCAUCAGAGAGAGGGAGGGAAGGAGGCUUCCUUGAGAGAAGAGAUUGGUCCCCAGGGUCUCCUACUGUCUUGGGUGAGGUCAGACGAAAAGAUCCUCCAAGGGUUUCAAGGAAGGGUUCUGCCCCUCUCUCCCUCCCUCCCUCCCUCCCUCCCUCCCUCCC